This 468-nucleotide ribosomal RNA is filed under the name uncultured bacterium. RNAcentral describes it as "partial 16S ribosomal RNA". It matches the Rfam family "Bacterial small subunit ribosomal RNA", at positions 28 to 507 of the family's 1533-position model. The record is from RNAcentral.
GACGAACGCUGGCGGCGUGCUUAACACAUGCAAGUCGAACGGAAAGGCCCUGCUUUUGUGGGGUGCUCGAGUGGCGAACGGGUGAGUAACACGUGAGUAACCUGCCCUUGACUUUGGGAUAACUUCAGGAAACUGGGGCUAAUACCGGAUAGGAGCUCCUGCUGCAUGGCGGGGGUUGGAAAGUUUUGGCGGUUGGGGAUGGACUCGCGGCUUAUCAGCUUGUUGGUGGGGUAGUGGCUUACCAAGGCUUUGACGGGUAGCCGGCCUGAGAGGGUGACCGGCCACAUUGGGACUGAGAUGCGGCCCAGACUCCUACGGGAGGCAGCAGUGGGGAAUAUUGCACAAUGGGCGGAAGCCUGAUGCAGCAACGCCGCGUGCGGGAUGACGGCCUUCGGGUUGUAAACCGCUUUCGCCUGUGACGAAGCGUGAGUAACGGUAAUGGGUAAAGAAGCACCGGCUAACUACGUG